UGCAACUCGACUACAUGAAGCUGGAAUCGCUAGUAAUCGCAGAUCAGAAUGCUGCGGUGAAUACGUUCCCGGGUCUUGUACACACCGCCCGUCACACCAUGGGAGUCGGAAAUGCCCGAAGCCGGUGACCCAACCAAAAGGAGGGAGCCGUCGAAGGCAGGUCUGAUAACUGGGGUGAAGUCGUAACAAGGUAGC
This 195-nucleotide ribosomal RNA is filed under the name uncultured bacterium. RNAcentral describes it as "partial 16S ribosomal RNA". It matches the Rfam family "Bacterial small subunit ribosomal RNA", at positions 1306 to 1500 of the family's 1533-position model. The record is from RNAcentral.